Molecule: ribosomal RNA, 254 nt
Filed under: uncultured bacterium
Lineage: Bacteria
Description: partial 16S ribosomal RNA
Rfam family: Bacterial small subunit ribosomal RNA
Source: RNAcentral
UACGUAGGGGGCGAGCGUUGUCCGGAAUUAUUGGGCGUAAAGAGCUCGUAGGCGGCUUGGCAAGUCGGAUGUGAAAACUCCAGGCUCAACCUGGAGCCGCCAUUCGAUACUGCUAUGGCUAGAGUCCGGUAGGGGAGUGUGGAAUUCCCGGUGUAGCGGUGAAAUGCGCAGAUAUCGGGAGGAACACCGAUGGCGAAGGCAGCACUCUGGGCCGGCACUGACGCUGAGGAGCGAAAGCAUGGGGAGCGAACAGG